RNAcentral lists this ribosomal RNA (483 nucleotides) under uncultured bacterium. RNAcentral's name for it is "partial 16S ribosomal RNA". It matches the Rfam family "Bacterial small subunit ribosomal RNA", at positions 28 to 523 of the family's 1533-position model. The record is from RNAcentral.
GAUGAACGCUGGCGGCGUGCUUAACACAUGCAAGUCGAACGGUGAAGCAGGAGCUUGCUCUUGUGGAUCAGUGGCGAACGGGUGAGUAACACGUGAGCAACCUGCCCCUGACUCUGGGAUAAGCGCUGGAAACGGCGUCUAAUACUGGAUAUGUGAUGUGACCGCAUGGUCUGCAUCUGGAAAGAAUUUCGGUUGGGGAUGGGCUCGCGGCCUAUCAGCUUGUUGGUGAGGUAAUGGCUCACCAAGGCGUCGACGGGUAGCCGGCCUGAGAGGGUGACCGGCCACACUGGGACUGAGACACGGCCCAGACUCCUACGGGAGGCAGCAGUGGGGAAUAUUGCACAAUGGCGGAAGCCUGAUGCAGCAACGCCGCGUGAGGGAUGACGGCCUCCGGGUUGUAAACCUCUUUUAGCAGGGAAGAAGCGAAAGUGACGGUACCUGCAGAAAAAGCACCGGCUAACUGCGUGCCAGCCGCCGCAGUAA